CCGCGGUAAUACGUAGGGUGCGAGCGUUAUCCGGAAUUAUUGGGCGUAAAGAGCUCGUAGGCGGUUUUGUCGCGUCUGUCGUGAAAGUCCGGGGCUUAACCCCGGAUCUGCGGUGGGUACGGGCAGACUAGAGUGCAGUAGGGGAGACUGGAAUUCCUGGUGUAGCGGUGGAAUGCGCAGAUAUCAGGAGGAACACCGAUGGCGAAGGCAGGUCUCUGGGCUGUAACUGACGCUGAGGAGCGAAAGCAUGGGGAGCGAACAGGAUUAGAUACCCUGGUAGUCCAUGCCGUAAACGUUGGGCACUAGGUGUGGGGACCAUUCCACGGUUUCCGCGCCGCAGCUAACGCAUUAAGUGCCCCGCCUGGGGAGUACGGCCGCAAGGCUAAAACUCAAAGGAAUUGACGGGGGCCCGCACAAGCGGCGGAGCAUGCGGAUUAAUUCGAUGCAACGCGAAGAACCUUACCAAGGCUUGACAUGUUCUCGAUCGCCGUAGAGAUACGGUUUCCCCUUUGGGGCGGGUUCACAGGUGGUGCAUGGUUGUCGUCAGCUCGUGUCGUGAGAUGUUGGGUUAAGUCCCGCAACGAGCGCAACCCUCGUUCCAUGUUGCCAGCACGUAAUGGUGGGGACUCAUGGGAGACUGCCGGGGUCAACUCGGAGGAAGGUGAGGACGACGUCAAAUCAUCAUGCCCCUUAUGUCUUGGGCUUCACGCAUGCUACAAUGGCCGGUACAAUGGGUUGCGAUACUGUGAGGUGGAGCUAAUCCCAAAAAGCCGGUCUCAGUUCGGAUUGGGGUCUGCAACUCGACCCCAUGAAGUCGGAGUCGCUAGUAAUCGCAGAUCAGCAACGCUGCGGUGAAUACGUUCCCGGGCCUUGUACACACCGCCCGUCAAGUCACGAAAGUUGGUAACACCCGAAGCC
This 918-nucleotide ribosomal RNA is filed under the name Micrococcus sp. S2H27. Its description in RNAcentral is "bacterial SSU rRNA". It matches the Rfam family "Bacterial small subunit ribosomal RNA", at positions 515 to 1428 of the family's 1533-position model. The record is from RNAcentral. Lineage: Bacteria; Bacillati; Actinomycetota; Actinomycetes; Micrococcales; Micrococcaceae.